AUGGAGAAGUACGAGGCGGUGCGGGACAUCGGGUCGGGCAACUUCGGGGUGGCGCGGCUGAUGCGCAACCGCGAGACCCGCGAGCUCGUCGCCGUCAAGUGCAUCGAGCGCGGCCACCGGAUUGACGAGAAUGUCUACAGGGAGAUCAUCAACCACCGCUCGCUGCGCCACCCCAACAUCAUCCGCUUCAAGGAGGUGGUACUGACGCCAACAAAUCUUAUGAUUGUCAUGGAGUUCGCAGCAGGUGGGGAGCUGUUUGAGCGAAUCUGUGAUCGUGGGCGGUUCAGUGAGGAUGAGGCAAGGUAUUUCUUUCAGCAGUUGAUCUGUGGUGUGAGCUACUGCCAUCACAUGCAAAUAUGCCAUAGAGAUUUGAAGCUGGAGAAUGUUCUCUUGGAUGGCAGUGCAGCUCCACGGCUCAAAAUAUGCGAUUUCGGCUACUCCAAGUCAUCAGUAUUGCAUUCAAGGCCCAAAUCAGCAGUGGGGACGCCAGCAUAUAUUGCACCAGAGGUGCUAUCCCGCCGUGAGUAUGAUGGAAAGCUUGCAGAUGUGUGGUCUUGUGGGGUGACUCUUUACGUCAUGCUUGUGGGAGGCUAUCCAUUUGAAGACCAGGAUGACCCCAAGAAUAUACGCAAGACCAUUCAGCGAAUAAUGUCCGUGCAAUAUACCAUACCUGAUCAUGUCCACAUAUCCAUGGAAUGCCGACAGCUUAUGGCCCGUAUCUUUGUUAACGUCCCAUCGAAGAGAAUCACAAUGAGGGAGAUAAAGAAUCACCCAUGGUUCCUGAAGAACCUACCAAGGGAGCUCACAGAGACAGCGCAGGCCAUGUACUUCAGGAGGGAUAACGCGGUGCCUUCUUUCUCGGAGCAGACUUCAGAAGAGAUCAUGAAGAUCGUCCAGGAGGCAAGGACCAUGCCGAAGUCAUCCAGGCCAAGCUAUGGUUGGGGCGAUGAGGGUUCGGACGACGAGGAAGAGAAGGAAGAGGAAGAGAGACCAGAAGUGGCGGAGGAGGAAGAGGAGGAUGAGUACGACAAGAGGGUCAAGGAGGUUCAUGCAAGCGGAGAGCUCCGCAUGAGCUCGCUACGCAUAUCAUGA
Molecule: ribosomal RNA, 1092 nt
Filed under: Triticum aestivum (bread wheat)
Lineage: Eukaryota; Viridiplantae; Streptophyta; Magnoliopsida; Poales; Poaceae
Description: partial small subunit ribosomal RNA
Source: RNAcentral